UACGUAGGGGGCAAGCGUUGUCCGGAAUCAUUGGGCGUAAAGAGCGUGUAGGCGGCUCGGUAAGUCCGCUCUGAAAGCCCGGGGCUCAACCCCGGGAGGCGGGCGGAUACUGUCGGGCUAGAGUCCGGAAGAGGCGAGUGGAAUUCCUGGUGUAGCGGUGAAAUGCGCAGAUAUCAGGAGGAACACCAAUGGCGAAGGCAGCUCGCUGGGACGGUACUGAUGCUGAGACGCGAAAGCGUGGGGAGCAAACAGG
RNAcentral lists this ribosomal RNA (253 nucleotides) under uncultured bacterium. RNAcentral describes it as "partial 16S ribosomal RNA". It matches the Rfam family "Bacterial small subunit ribosomal RNA", at positions 524 to 776 of the family's 1533-position model. The record is from RNAcentral.